This 549-nucleotide long non-coding RNA is filed under the name Ananas comosus (pineapple). RNAcentral's name for it is "long non-coding RNA (ACOM_LNC035095)". Lineage: Eukaryota; Viridiplantae; Streptophyta; Magnoliopsida; Poales; Bromeliaceae. The record is from RNAcentral.
CGAUAGUGUGAAGCCGCUUUGGAGUGGGAGAAUGAGUUGGUAUCCUCAAUUGCUCGCGGAGCUGAAUUGAGGCGUGGUUUGAAUUUCGCGGACGAAAUUCUUUUGAGGGGUGGAGAAUGUAGCAUACCGGAUUUUGAUGUAAAAAUAAAAAUAAAUAAAAAUAGUGUGAGAUACUAUUUUUAUUAGAUUUAGAGAAGUAAAAUAUAAGUCAGAAGUGACUUGUGCUGAAAUCGGAAUGAAAACAGAAGAUUUAGAAUUUUCUGUUGGAAACGGGACAGAUAAAUUAGCAGAAAAUACACAGUGUCAGAAAAUUAUAAAAACUGGAGGAUAAGUCAGAAUUAUUUUUAUGAGACUAGAUUUAAAGUUUCAUAUCAUUCUAACACCCAGAAGGUGGAAAAUAAAAUCCGACAGCUAUCUGAUAAAAAUUACAGUUCGGUACAGCUUUCGGUGACCAAACGGGGUCGAAACUGAAAUAUUAAAAUUUCUUUGUACUUAUGACUGUCAAAUUUGAGCUCAAACGGACAUUCAAAAGGGCUCCGGCGAAAACGU